UUGUUUACGUUAAAAGACUUUUCUUCAGUGAUAAUGUUUAUUUUUGUGAAUUGAGUCAUUCGGUAUAAUGUUUUGAGUUGAGGAAUUUAGGUUCUGGUCUUUAGGGGAUUUAUUAGGUUCUUCAAAUACUGUAGUGAUUUUUAUGGCUUGUGUAUCCAACUUAUUAUUUUCAUUUUCUCAUGUUCUAUGUGUUACAGAAUUUAAUUUCUAGUGGGAAUCAUGCAUGUCUCCUUUUCUACAUAUUUUGUUUAAUAAUCGAACUUACUCUCACAAUUCUUCCGAGAAGAGUUCAGGAGGUAAUUGUUUUCUCAAGAGCAAAAAUUUUAAUCAACAAGAGAAGGCAGAGCUUAAGUUGCGAAUAUUAUGAGUUUGAACUAGAAUAAAAAUGAGAUAAUUUGCCUGUCUUCUUAUUCUGUCCUUGGUUUGACAUAGAAAUGUCAGAUCUUGAGAGUUAAGUAACUGCAUGCUAGAUCACCAUGAGUUGGUAUCAAGUAGGUUCGUGGUCUUAAUUACAUGUUUUGAUGCGACAGCAAAAUGACUUGCAUUAGUUGCUUUCUGCCCUGCGUUCUGUGUUUUUCAGUUCUGCAUUGCAGGUUGGUUACAUAGUUUUCAUGACUCACGAAAUUGAAAAAUUCACAUUUAUUUGAGGCCAUCUUGUGUUUCUUCUCAUCUAGAAAUUAAUCUUGUUUUUCUCUUUUUCGAUUAUUCCACUUUGCUCACUUAGCAUUGCUAGAAAUUUUACGCUAAUUCCCUUUAUUUCUAACUAUUCGUAGGAUUUUUUGUUUUUCAAGAAAAUAUUAGCAAAAAAGGAAAAAUAAAGAAUACAAUGCACAAAUUAAACGGACAAUUAAAACAUUUCACUAUAUGAAAAUUGUUAUAACCAUAUAGAAUUUCACUUACUAACCCAAUUCCUAGGUAUUACAAAGAAAAAUAAAAUCAAGCUUUAACACACAUUUUCUACUUUUUGUAUGAAAAUUCUAAAGGUGCUAGGCUCACAAUAUUUCUCUCUCUGAUUAACUUUUAUGCCACACCCAAAAUAAUGAAAUACAACAAUUAUUUACAGGAUUAACAAUCAAGUAGAAGAGUUUAAUUUCAACUCAAAUAAGGAAUAUUCUCCAUGGAAGCAAGCCGUUUUAAGUGUUCAUCACAGUGAGAAGAGGAGGUGGUAAUUUCUCAAGUUUAAAUCUUCUCUUUGUAUGUCAUGCUGUAACCUAUUUGUUGAAUUAUUAUCAUCUUUGCCUUCUACUGCCAAAACCCUCGAGGUUAAAACCGUUCUUCAUUAAUCCCUUUUUUUUUUUUUUCAAGGGGAAAUUUAAAAAUGACUGUUGAUUCUCGUGAAAUCUUCAAUUUUACAUUUAUGGGAAACUUCAAAGAAAACUUAAUCUAUUUAGAAAUUAAGCGUGGCUGGUUUCAUGAAUCAAGUAGAUGAUGAUUAAAAUUUUACAUUAAUUUAUAAGUUAAAAAAUUAUUGGAAAGCUGUUAGGUCUUCAUUUUACAUAAAGAAAAAAAAAAGGAAUCCCAUGUUAUUUUCGUGAGUUAAUAGUGAAUCCAUUUAAAUCUGGACAGAAUGAUGAAUGGAAGAUUACAAAAAUUUCUCUACAUUCUUGUUUGUAUGCUGAUUGUGAUAAGAGCAUAAGGUUUUUUGGUUGAUAUUACUUAUGUUCAAAGUAAAGUGUAGUGACUAUGUUUGAAACAUAGUAAAAAUGAUGAUGUUGAGAUCAACAAACAUCACAAUGGAAUUGAUUAAAUUAUAUAGAAUAAAACUUAUCUUCUUCUUGUUGCAUUGUUGGCAAUCAAACAAAGUAUUUCUCUUUUGAUUUUGCCAUCCAUGUACCAGAGAUAUAUUUGGCCAAAUACUUGAAGAAGGAAUGAAGGAUGUUGAAAAUGUAUGAUUUUCUCUUAUGUUUUUUCCUCCAACUUAAACUGUAAUCUUACUUGCUAUUGUUAACUUGAGUGUUCUUAUGUAGGCCAUUCUGUCUGGAUGUUCAGUCGGUGGAUUAGCAUCGAUUUUGCAUUGUGAUAACUUCAAAGCUCUUGUUCCCAAGGUUGCUAAAGUAAAGUGUUUUCCCGAUGCAUGGUAUUUUAUUAACGCGAAGGAUAUCUCUGGAGCACCGCGUAUAGAGGAUUUCUAUUAUGAUGCUGUCAAGACACACAGUGAAACCAGACAGUGAACCAAUCAUAGAUCCAGUGGGUGCAGGCAUCCCUACAAACCCCCCAUUUACGAUAUUAAUGUACCUAACCAGAUCAAAUUGGCAUUUAUAAAGGUACAUGGUUGAUUAUGGUGAUGUUCUGUUCUUGGUAAACUAUUAUUCCAGCAAUGUAUGUCUAUUUUAAGUUGUCGAACAAAAUCUUAUGCUCAACAAAGAAAGAUAAAGUUGGAUUGAAGUAAUUUCA
Molecule: long non-coding RNA, 2394 nt
Organism: Olea europaea var. sylvestris
Lineage: Eukaryota; Viridiplantae; Streptophyta; Magnoliopsida; Lamiales; Oleaceae
Exons: 2
Source: RefSeq, a predicted model, not a curated record